Non-coding RNA from Capsicum annuum, 108 nucleotides. The record is from Rfam. NCBI's taxonomy places the organism in Eukaryota, Viridiplantae, Streptophyta, Magnoliopsida, Solanales, Solanaceae.
AUGCUGGUGAUGUGGACAAUCUUGAAGAAGAGCUUUGAACCUCUCCCAAGCAUAAUAUAGGUUCUUAUCUAGCAUUUGCUUGAAGCUUAAAAUCUUACUACAAAGUUU